RNAcentral lists this ribosomal RNA (484 nucleotides) under uncultured bacterium. RNAcentral's name for it is "partial 16S ribosomal RNA". It matches the Rfam family "Bacterial small subunit ribosomal RNA", at positions 30 to 507 of the family's 1533-position model. The record is from RNAcentral.
AUUGAACGCUGGCGGCAGGCCUAACACAUGCCAGUCGAGCGGAUGAAGGGAGCUUGCUCCUGGAUUCAGCGGCGGACGGGUGAGUAAUGCCUAGGAAUCUGCCUGGUAGUGGGGGAUAACGUCCGGAAACGGGCGCUAAUACCGCAUACGUCCUGAGGGAGAAAGUGGGGGAUCUUCGGACCUCACGCUAUCAGAUGAGCCUAGGUCGGAUUAGCUAGUUGGUGGGGUAAAGGCCUACCAAGGCGACGAUCCGUAACUGGUCUGAGAGGAUGAUCAGUCACACUGGAACUGAGAAAGGGUACAGACUCCUACGGGAGGCAGCAGUGGGGAAUAUUGGACAAUGGGCGAAAGCCUGAUCCAGCCAUGCCGCGUGUGUGAAGAAGGUCUUAGGAUUGUAAAGCAAUUUAAGUUGGGAGGAAGGGCAGUAAGUUAAUACCUGGCUGUUUUGACGGUACCAACAGAAUAAGCACCGGCUAACUUCGUG